ACGGCUCAGUAACACGUAGUUAAUCUGCCCUUGAGUCAGGGAUAUCCUCGGGAAACUGAGGGUAAUACCUGAUAGGAGUUCUUCUCUGGAAAGAAAGUACUUUCAAAUUCGUGCUCAAGGAUGAGACUGCGGCUGAUUAGCUAGUUGGCGGGGUAAAGGCCCACCAAGGCGAUGAUCAGUAGGGGCUCUUAGCGGAGUCGCCCCGAGAGGGAGUCUGAGACACUACUCCCAGCUCUACGGAGUGCAGCAGCUAUGAAUCUUCUGCAAUGCGCGCAAGCGUGACAGAGCGAGCCAAAGUGUUUAUCUUUUUGAUAAACUUUUGCCAGCUGUAAAAAGGCUGGCGAAUAAGGACUGGGUAAGAUCGGUGCCAGCCGCCGCGGUAAUCCCGACAGUCCAAGUCGCAACCAACAUUAUUGGGUCUAAAACAUCCGUAGCUUGCUUAGUAAGUCUUUUGUCAAAUCCUGCAUCUCAAGUGUAGGGCGCGCAGAAGGUACUACUGAGCUAGAGACCGGUAGGUGUAAGAAGUACGUUCAAGGUAGUAGUAAAAUACGUUAAUCUUGAAUGGACUCACAAUUAGCGAAGGCACCGUACAAGGACGGAUCUGACAGUGAGGGAUGAAGGCCAAGGGCGCAAAAGGGAUUAGAUACCCCUGUAGUCUUGGCAGUAAACACUGCUCACUAAACAUCGGGGCCUCUUCGGGAGGUUUCGGUGCUGUAGGGAAGCUGCAAAGUGAGCUACCUGGGAAGUAUAGUCGCAAGAUCGAAACUUAAAGGAAUUGGCGGGGGAGCAC
Molecule: ribosomal RNA, 790 nt
Filed under: uncultured archaeon
Lineage: Archaea
Description: bacterial SSU rRNA
Rfam family: Archaeal small subunit ribosomal RNA
Source: RNAcentral